AAUGAACGUUGGCGGCGUGGAUUAGGCAUGCAAGUCGUGCGGAAAGGCUCCUUCGGGAGUACUCGAGCGGCGAAAGGGAGAGUAACGCGUGGAUAUCUGCCCUCAGGUCCGGAAUAGCGGCGGGAAACUGCCGGUAAUGCCGGAUAACAUCCCCGGAUCAAAGGUGUGAUUCCGCCUGAGGAUGAGUCCGCGUCCUAUUAGCUUGUUGGUGGGGUAAUGGCCUACCAAGGCUGUGAUGGGUACCGGGUGUGAGAGCAUGGCCCGGCUCACUGGGACUGAGACACUGCCCAGACACCUACGGGUGGCUGCAGUCGAGAAUCUUCGGCAAUGGACGCAAGUCUGACCGAGCGACGCCGCGUGCGGGAUGAAGGCCCUUGGGUUGUAAACCGCUGUCAGAGGGAGGAAAUUCCUGGGGGCUAUCCCCCAGGAUUGACCGAGCCUCAGAGGAAGCACGGGCUAAGUUCGUG
This 467-nucleotide ribosomal RNA is filed under the name uncultured bacterium. RNAcentral's name for it is "bacterial SSU rRNA". It matches the Rfam family "Bacterial small subunit ribosomal RNA", at positions 28 to 507 of the family's 1533-position model. The record is from RNAcentral.